AUGAGGUCGAGGGGGCUGCGGCUGCGGUCGCGGCGGCAGAGCGUGCUUGUCGCCGCGGCCGUCGUCCUCGGCGUGUUGCUGCUGGCGACGGCGGCGCCGCGCGCGGCGGCGGCGGGGCUGAGCCGGAACUACUACGCGAAGACGUGCCCCAACGUGGAGACCCUGGUCCGCGGCGCCGUGGCCCAGAAGCUGCAGGAGACCUUCAACGCCGCGCCCGGCACCCUCCGCCUCUUCUUCCACGACUGCUUCGUCAGGGGGUGCGACGCUUCGGUGCUCAUCUCCGGGCCGGGCGACGAGCACAGCGCGGGCGCGGACACGACGUUGUCGCCGGACGCGCUGGACCUCAUCACCCGCGCCAAGGCCGCCGUGGACGCCGUCGCCGGCUGCUCCAACAAGGUCUCCUGCGCCGACAUCCUCGCGCUCGCCACCCGCGACGUCGUCCAGCAGGCGGGAGGGCCGUUCUACCCGGUGGAGCUGGGGCGGCUGGACGGCAAGGUGGGGACGCGCGCCGUGGUGAAGCACAGCCUCCCCGGCGCCGGCUUCUCCCUGGACCAGCUCAACAAGCUCUUCGCCGCCAACGGCCUCACCCAGACCGACAUGAUCGCCCUCUCAGGGGGGCACACGAUCGGGGUGACGCACUGCGACAAGUUCGUGCGGCGGCUGUACACGUUCAAGGGGGCGCGGCCGCAGUACAGCCCGCCGAUGAACCUGGCCUUCCUGCGGCAGAUGCGGGGGACGUGCCCGCUCAACUACAGCCCCACCACGGUGGCCAUGCUGGACGCCGUCACGCCCAACAAGUUCGACAACGGCUACUACCAGACGCUGCAGCAGCAGAAGGGCCUGCUGUCGUCGGACCAGGUGCUCUUCGCCGACCGCCGCUCCCGGGCCACCGUCAACCACUUCGCCGCCAACCAGACCGCCUUCUUCGACGCCUUCGUCGCCGCCAUGGCCAAGCUCGGCCGCAUCGGGGUCAAGACCGCCGGCUCCGACGCCGAGAUCCGCCGGGUCUGCACCAAGGUCAACUAA
RNAcentral lists this ribosomal RNA (1026 nucleotides) under Triticum aestivum (bread wheat). RNAcentral describes it as "partial small subunit ribosomal RNA". The record is from RNAcentral. Lineage: Eukaryota; Viridiplantae; Streptophyta; Magnoliopsida; Poales; Poaceae.